RNAcentral lists this unclassified non-coding RNA (203 nucleotides) under uncultured Agaricomycetes. RNAcentral describes it as "sequence contains ITS2". Lineage: Eukaryota; Fungi; Basidiomycota; Agaricomycetes. The record is from RNAcentral.
UUAAUCUCAAACUUCAGAGUUUUCUUUGAAGUCUUGGAUGUGGGGGUUAUGCUGGCAACAUACUUUGUUGGCUCCUUUUAAAUGCAUUUGCAGGAAAAACCAUUCAAGGAUGACUUGGCUCUGGUUUGAUAUGCCAUUGCUAAGAAGUCAGAAAGGAUUUAUUCCAGCUUUCAAUCUGUCUCGUGAAUGAGACACUCUUUGAA